RNAcentral lists this ribosomal RNA (698 nucleotides) under uncultured crenarchaeote. RNAcentral's name for it is "bacterial SSU rRNA". It matches the Rfam family "Archaeal small subunit ribosomal RNA", at positions 85 to 786 of the family's 1478-position model. Lineage: Archaea; Thermoproteati; Thermoproteota. The record is from RNAcentral.
ACGGCUCAGUAACACGUAGUCAACAUGCCCAGGGGACGUGGAUAACCUCGGGAAACUGAGGAUAAACCGCGAUAGGUCACUGCUUCUGGAAUGGGCAAUGACCCAAACCUACAUGGCCCCUGGAUUGGACUGCGGCCGAUCAGGCUGUUGGUGAGGUAAUGGCCCACCAAACCUGUAACCGGUACGGGCUCUGAGAGAAGGAGCCCGGAGAUGGGCACUGAGACAAGGGCCCAGGCCCUAUGGGGCGCAGCAGGCGCGAAACCUCUGCAAUAGGCGAAAGCUUGACAGGGUUACUCUGAGUGAUGCCCGCUAAGGGUAUCUUUUGGCACCUCUAAAAAUGGUGCAGAAUAAGGGGUGGGCAAGUCUGGCGUCAGCCGCCGCGGUAAUACCAGCACCCCGAGUUGUCGGGACGAUUAUUGGGCCUAAAGCAUCCGUAGCCUGUUCUGCAAGUCCUCCGUUAAAUCCACCUGCUUAACGGAUGGGCUGCGGGGGAUACUGCAGAGCUAGGAGGCGGGAGAGGCAAACGGUACUCAGUGGGUAGGGGUAAAAUCCUUUGAUCUACUGAAGACCACCAGUGGCGAAGGCGGUUUGCCAGAACGCGCUCGACGGUGAGGGAUGAAAGCUGGGGGAGCAAACCGGAUUAGAUACCCGGGUAGUCCCAGCUGUAAACGAUGCAGACUCGGUGAUGGGUUGGCCUC